RNAcentral lists this long non-coding RNA (361 nucleotides) under Homo sapiens (human). RNAcentral's name for it is "HSALNT0049090". Lineage: Eukaryota; Metazoa; Chordata; Mammalia; Primates; Hominidae. The record is from RNAcentral.
CAUCCAAUUUGUUGAAGGUCCGAACAGAACAAAGAGACUGACUUCCCUCAAGCAAGAAGGAAUUCUGCAGCAGACAACCCUCAGCCUUGAGCUGCAGCCUCGGCUUUCUCCUGGGUCUCCAGCCUGACGGCCCUUCCUGCAGAGUCUGGAUUUGCCAGCUCCAUCAUCAUGAUCUUGGUGCCCAGUGAUGCGGGUGCGAUGCAACCUCUGCCACGUGUGCCUCCAUGAUCAACACACCAACAACGCAGGGGGAGAUCUGCCCGCUCAGCUCUGCCACCUCUUUUCAGUUUAUAGCAGUCCCCUGGCACAAGCGCAGCUAAAAUGUGAACCCAAUGAAAACUUACCCACCUCUGCCUUCCAC